This 370-nucleotide ribosomal RNA is filed under the name Rozellomycota sp. RNAcentral describes it as "Cryptomycota sp. partial small subunit ribosomal RNA". It matches the Rfam family "Eukaryotic small subunit ribosomal RNA", at positions 582 to 975 of the family's 1831-position model. The record is from RNAcentral. Lineage: Eukaryota; Fungi; Rozellomycota.
AUUCCAGCUCCAAUAGCGUAUAUUAAAGUUGUUGCAGUUAAAAAGCUCGUAGUUGAACCUUGGACAAAGUGCGCGUGGUCUACCGCAAGGUACGACUGCGGCGCUGCGUCUCUUUAGGGGGACUCGAUGCUUCGGUGUCGAGGUAACCCGUGUUACUGUGAAGAAAUUAGAGUGUUUAAAGCAGGCUAUCGCUUGAAUACAUCAGCAUGGAAUAACAAGUUGGACUUUGCUCCUACUUGUUGGUUUGAGGGGAAAAGUAAUGAUUAAUAGGGCCAGUUGGGGGCAUUAGUAUUCAGUAGUCAGAGGUGAAAUUCUUGGAUUUACUGAAGACUAACUAGUGCGAAAGCAUUUGCCAAGGAUGUUUUCAUCA